This 434-nucleotide ribosomal RNA is filed under the name uncultured bacterium. Its description in RNAcentral is "bacterial SSU rRNA". It matches the Rfam family "Bacterial small subunit ribosomal RNA", at positions 355 to 787 of the family's 1533-position model. The record is from RNAcentral.
UGAGGAAUAUUGGUCAAUGGGCGGGAGCCUGAACCAGCCAAGCCGCGUGAGGGAGGAAGGCCCUAUGGGUCGUAAAUCUCUUUUGUCAGGGAACAAAAGCGAGUAUGUAUACUAGUCUGAGUGUACCUGAAGAAAAAGCAUCGGCUAACUCCGUGCCAGCAGCCGCGGUAAUACGGAGGAUGCGAGCGUUAUCCGGAUUUAUUGGGUUUAAAGGGUGCGUAGGCGGCGGUGCAAGUCAGCGGUAAAAGCCCGGGGCUCAACCCCGGCGAGCCGUUGAAACUGCAGUGCUAGAGAAGGCGAGAGGUACGCGGAAUGCGCAGUGUAGCGGUGAAAUGCUUAGAUAUUGCGCAGAACUCCGAUUGCGAAGGCAGCGUACUGGCGCCUGACUGACGCUGAGGCACGAAAGCGUGGGGAUCGAACAGGAUUAGAUACCC